Molecule: ribosomal RNA, 478 nt
Filed under: uncultured bacterium
Lineage: Bacteria
Description: partial 16S ribosomal RNA
Rfam family: Bacterial small subunit ribosomal RNA
Source: RNAcentral
GAUGAACGCUGGUGGCGUGCUUAACACAUGCAAGUCGAACGGGAAUUAUUUUAUUGAAACUUCGGUCGAUUUAAUUUAAUUCUAGUGGCGGACGGGUGAGUAACGCGUGGGUAACCUGCCUUAUACAGGGGGAUAACAGUCAGAAAUGGCUGCUAAUACCGCAUAAGCGCACAGAGCUGCAUGGCUCAGUGUGAAAAACUCCGGUGGUAUAAGAUGGACCCGCGUUGGAUUAGCUGGUUGGUGGGGUAACGGCCCACCAAGGCGACGAUCCAUAGCCGGCCUGAGAGGGUGAACGGCCACAUUGGGACUGAGACACGGCCCAGACUCCUACGGGAGGCAGCAGUGGGGAAUAUUGCACAAUGGGGGAAACCCUGAUGCAGCGACGCCGCGUGAAGGAAGAAGUAUCUCGGUAUGUAAACUUCUAUCAGCAGGGAAGAUAGUGACGGUACCUGACUAAGAAGCCCCGGCUAACUACGUG